Molecule: non-coding RNA, 347 nt
Organism: Mogibacterium pumilum
Lineage: Bacteria; Bacillati; Bacillota; Clostridia; Peptostreptococcales; Anaerovoracaceae
Source: Rfam
UGGGUAAACUGGAUGAUCGCGUGAUUUAACGAUUACGAGGAAAGUCCGGGCUCCAUAGGGCAAGGAUGCCAGAUAACGUCUGGCGUAGGUAACUAUAGGGAAAGUGCAACAGAAACAUUCCGCCGAAACGGGUAAUGCCGUGGUAAGGUUGAAAUGGUGAGGCAAGAGCUCACCGGCAUCAUGGAGACAUGGUGGCCGUGUAAACCCCAUCCGGAGCAAGACUAAGAAAGGCAUGAAAUGCGGCGGCCCGUCGCAGCCGGUAGGUAAGUCGCUUGAAGCAGCUAGCGAUAGCUGCUCUAGAUGGAUGAUCAUCAAAUACAGAACCCGGCUUAUAGUUUGCCCAUUUU